RNAcentral lists this ribosomal RNA (504 nucleotides) under uncultured bacterium. Its description in RNAcentral is "partial 16S ribosomal RNA". It matches the Rfam family "Bacterial small subunit ribosomal RNA", at positions 30 to 523 of the family's 1533-position model. The record is from RNAcentral.
AUUGAACGCUGGCGGCAGGCCUAACACAUGCAAGUCGAACGGUAGCACAGAGAGCUUGCUCUCGGGUGACGAGUGGCGGACGGGUGAGUAAUGUCUGGGAAACUGCCCGAUGGAGGGGGAUAACUGCUGGAAACGGUAGCUAAUACCGCAUAACGUCGCAAGACCAAAGUGGGGGACCUUCGGGCCUCACACCAUCGGAUGUGCCCAGAUGGGAUUAGCUAGUAGGUGGGAUAAUGGCUCACCUAGGCGACGAUCCCUAGCUGGUCUGAGAGGAUGACCAGCCACACUGGAACUGAGACACGGUCCAGACUCCGGCGGGAGGCAGCAGUGGGGAAUAUUGCACAAUGGGCGCAAGCCUGAUGCAGCCAUGCCGCGUGUAUGAAGAAGGCCUUCGGGUUGUAAAGUACUUUCAGCGGGGAGGAAGGCGGUGAAGUUAAUAGCUUCACCGAUUGACGUUACCCGCAGAAGAAGCACCGGCUAACUCCGUGCCAGCCGCCGCUGUAA